CAUGUAGGCGGAUUAAUAAGUUUGAAGUGAAAUCCUAUAGCUUAACUAUAGAACUGCUUUGAAAACUGUUAAUCUAGAAUGUGGGAGAGGUAGAUGGAAUUUCUGGUGUAGGGGUAAAAUCCGUAGAGAUCAGAAGGAAUACCUAUUGCGAAGGCGAUCUACUGGAACAUUAUUGACGCUGAGAUGCGAAAGCGUGGGGAGCAAACA
This 207-nucleotide ribosomal RNA is filed under the name uncultured bacterium. RNAcentral describes it as "partial 16S ribosomal RNA". It matches the Rfam family "Bacterial small subunit ribosomal RNA", at positions 568 to 774 of the family's 1533-position model. The record is from RNAcentral.